GAUGAACGCUGGCGGCGUGCCUAAUACAUGCAAGUCGAGCGAACGGACGAGAAGCUUGCUUCUCUGAUGUUAGCGGCGGACGGGUGAGUAACACGUGGAUAACCUACCUAUAAGACUGGGAUAACUUCGGGAAACCGGAGCUAAUACCGGAUGAUAUUUUGAACCGCAUGGUUCAAAAGUGAAAGACGGUCUUGCUGUCACUUAUAGAUGGAUCCGCGCUGCAUUAGCUAGUUGGUAAGGUAACGGCUUACCAAGGCAACGAUGCAUAGCCGAUCUGAGAGGGUGAUCGGCCACACUGGAACUGAGACACGGUCCAGACUCCUACGGGAGGCAGCAGUAGGGAAUCUUCCGCAAUGGGCGAAAGCCUGACGGAGCAACGCCGCGUGAGUGAUGAAGGUCUUCGGAUCGUAAAACUCUGUUAUUAGGGAAGAACAUAUGUGUGAGUAACUGUGCACAUCUUGACGGUACCUAAUCAGAAAGCCACGGCUAACUACGUG
Molecule: ribosomal RNA, 497 nt
Filed under: uncultured bacterium
Lineage: Bacteria
Description: partial 16S ribosomal RNA
Rfam family: Bacterial small subunit ribosomal RNA
Source: RNAcentral